Malus domestica (apple) is the source of this 193-nucleotide non-coding RNA. The record is from RefSeq and is a predicted model, not a curated record. Lineage: Eukaryota; Viridiplantae; Streptophyta; Magnoliopsida; Rosales; Rosaceae.
GAAAAGGAGCUCCGGCGAGAUUUUCAAUCUCCGGUUAGGACGAAAUCGAAGCCGGGUGUAAGCACACCCAACUCCGGCGACCUCGGGGGUUAUUCCGGCCAUCUCCGGUCGUUCCACGACGAAAGGAAGGUGAAAUUAUUAACGGUGAUUCCGCUAUACCUUUUUGGUACAGCUUUGCAUCAUCGGUGUACGG